UUGACCUGUUCACCAGGCUUAACUUGCUUUUUCAUGCAUGAAAAUAGUACCAUCGGAUAUAUUGGAUUUUUUGAAUCAUUUUUCAUAUAUAAAUCUUUUCCAUCUGAACUACGGUUGAAUUUAUAUGAUUUUUUUAAGUUCAUAUCAAUUUAUGCAAUUUCCUGGUUAUUCUAAAUCUUAUAUCUUAUCUAUCUAUCUAUCUAUCUAUCUAUCUAUCUAUCUAUCUAUAUCUAUACCUAUACUAAUUACAGACUCUCCAGAAAUUACCACGUUAAUCAGUAAUUAGGAGCCGUUAAUCUGGUGGGGACGAGUUAUGACGGUGUAGAUUGACUCAAAAAAUCCUCCAAAAAAAACUAAAAAUCAAACGAUUCUUUCUUCUAUCUAUCUUCUAUUAAUUGUUUUUCUUAACGCUAGAGAUUUGUUUAUUGUAACGCUAUAGAUUUUUUCAACAUGGACAACAAGUCCAAUAGGCUCACGUAAGGCUCGGGCAGGCCAAUUAUAACGGUACCUAAACAGCCCAUCCCCGUUGGCAAAAACAAGAAAAAAACAUAUUCACGCAAUAUGUAUCUUCAUAUGCCUUAUCCUCCCAAUCCUCUUCGAUCUGUAAAUGUCGAUCUGGCGAUUGAAUCUAACUACAAGCCAGCACCAGUGCCCUCCCUCUCCCCUUCCUAUGCCGCCUCCCUCACAACCUAGGCAAGGCUUGAUGUGCUGAAGCUACAUGGGAUGUAGUGCCCCUCAUGAGAUUAUCCCGGCAGAGUCUGAGCUACGGCUCGACGGCCAUGGUCGACCCACCGUGGCUGCCGCCGUGCCGCCUGUGUCCACAUGCGAGGCUGAGAGGGUAUUGCAAGGUGUACCGAUUGUGCUCUAAACUAGAUGGUGCAGCUGUCGUAUGUGGUGUGUUGACAAUUCAAGAACCUACUAGAAGACUGGUGGCACAGUGAUUUACAUCUCCGAAGUCACCAAGUUCAUCCUCGGUUGUCUAGAUCCACUAAAUUCGGUGCAUACCCUGCUUGAUUUUUCUGUAGCACUAACACUAAAGAUCUCUUAUUUUUCUUAUAAGUACACCACAGUACCACAUGCAAAGCCAAGACGCUGAUUGCAAGGACGCUGGAUCAUAUAGAUGAUUCUCAGGUGGUGGUUCGGACAACCUGCCGGUGUAGAAGGUGUGAAGAGCUAGGAUAUGUUGUCUUUCCAGGUCCCAACAUUGACCCGAGCCUGUUCUGCCAUGCCAAGUUGGCCGGAUCAAGCUUGCUAUGUCUCUCGUGUCAGCUAACCGGUUGUGCGCACUGACACAACAGAACGGCCAUCAGCGGCAACGCAUGCAGAUUGAAGAGGGGAAGCAGGACUUCAGGAUAUGGAAAUUGCAAGCAUGUUGUAGAUGGAGAGAGGGACAACGGACGGGACUACAGAAUUUGCAAGCAUGCUGUACAUGGAGAGAGGGACAACUGAUGGAUGAGAAUACAAAGCGAUAGAUGCAUACGUCGAUACGUGCUUUUGAGAUUGGAUCUUAAUUAAUUAAUCCUAUGCAACUAACUUGUUGCUUCAGGCUUAAUUCCUUUCAGGGCUGGGACUGAAUCAUACCUUUGUUGCAGUUAAGCUAUACGUUCAUCUUUCCCAAAGGAACCAAUGAUUCCC
Molecule: long non-coding RNA, 1635 nt
Organism: Aegilops tauschii subsp. strangulata
Lineage: Eukaryota; Viridiplantae; Streptophyta; Magnoliopsida; Poales; Poaceae
Source: RefSeq, a predicted model, not a curated record